GCUCCCACUUUCCCAUGAUACCAAUAUCACAAAACAGCAGGGGACCGUGCAUUGAUAGCCCAUGUGCAUCUAACUCCCAGCUCAGUGCACUGCACAGAAUCAGUGCUCAGUAAAUGUUUGUUGAACAAAUUGAAUCAACAUUUAUAUUAACCACUUGCAAUGCAGCAAGGUACAGUUUCUCACUUCAAGAAACUCAGUUCUAAACAGAAGGAGAAGGACAAGUAUGUAAAAAAUGAAACAAUGUAGAACAUGAAUGAGGAGUAAAGAAGAUUCCUUGGAAAAGAACUCUGGGAGCCAAGUCUUAAAGAAUGAGUGAGAGAUAUAUUUGGCAUUAAACUCGGGACAAAAGAAGACACAAACUUUAUCUUGUGGUUUGGGUCCUCCAAUCCUCAUAAAAGUGUGGUUUCACCUGUUACCUCAUAAAGGUGCCAUUGCUGUAUGCACAUCUGAAUCUGUUUACAAUUUGAGAAUAGAGAUUAUUGCCUGCUCCUCCAAGCCCUUCACUGUAGAAUGGAAGCCUGUGAUUUUCCUGGCAUCAUGCAUGACUGAGAAGGUCAGUGUGGCUAAUUCUGAGCUUCAACAUCAGGAAACCCGUAGUUCUUCACACUGAGCCGCCUCCUGCAGCACAGUCAUCCUUGGUAAUAAAGCUGAUAUUUUAAUCAAUAUCUGUCUUACUCUUUCA
Molecule: long non-coding RNA, 682 nt
Filed under: Homo sapiens (human)
Lineage: Eukaryota; Metazoa; Chordata; Mammalia; Primates; Hominidae
Description: HSALNT0367834
Source: RNAcentral